AGCAAACGCUGGCGGCAGGCUUAACACAUGCAAGUCGAACGGGCAUCCCUGAGGUGUCUGCGGCAGACGGGUGAGUAACGCGUGGGAACGUGGCCUUCAGCUCGGAAUAACUCUGGGAAACUUGAGCUAAAACCGGAUAUAUGCGAGAACAGAAAGGUUUAUCUGCCAUAGGAUCGGGGAGCGUCUGAUUAGCUAGUUGGUGAGGUGAUGGCUCACCAAGGCCACGAUCGGUAGCUGGUCUGAGAGGAUGAUCAGCCACACUGGGACUGAGACACGGCCCAGAAUCCUACGGGAGGCAGCAGUGGGGAAUAUUGGACAAUGGGGGCAACCCUGAUCCAGCCAUGCCGCGUGAGUGAUGACGGCCUUAGGGUUGUAAAGCUCUUUUAUCCGGGACGAUAAUGACGGUACCGGAGGAAUAAGCCCCGGCUAACUUCGUG
This 437-nucleotide ribosomal RNA is filed under the name uncultured bacterium. Its description in RNAcentral is "partial 16S ribosomal RNA". It matches the Rfam family "Bacterial small subunit ribosomal RNA", at positions 29 to 507 of the family's 1533-position model. The record is from RNAcentral.